GACGAACGCUGGCGGCGUGCUUAACACAUGCAAGUCGAAGCGGUAAGGCCCUUUACGGGGGUACACGAGCGGCGAACGGGUGAGUAACACGUGGGUGACCUGCCCUUAGCUCUGGGAUAAGCCUGGGAAACUGGGUCUAAUACCGGAUAUGACUCCAUGACGCAUGUUGUGGGGUGGAAAAGUCCUUGUGCGGCUAGGGAUGGGCCCGCGGCCUAUCAGC
Molecule: ribosomal RNA, 220 nt
Filed under: uncultured bacterium
Lineage: Bacteria
Description: partial 16S ribosomal RNA
Rfam family: Bacterial small subunit ribosomal RNA
Source: RNAcentral